Molecule: ribosomal RNA, 457 nt
Filed under: uncultured bacterium
Lineage: Bacteria
Description: SSU rRNA
Rfam family: Bacterial small subunit ribosomal RNA
Source: RNAcentral
AGAAUCAACGCUGGCGGCGUGCCUAACACAUGCAAGUCGAACGAGAAAGUGGAGCAAUCCAUGAGUAAAGUGGCGACCGGGUGAGUAACACGUGACUAACCUACCCUACAGUGGGGGAUAACUCCGGGAAACCGGGGCUAAUACCGCAUAACAUCGUAAGAUCAAAGGAGCAAUUCGCUGAAGGAGGGGUCGCGGCUGAUUAGUUAGUUGGUGAGGUAACGGCUCACCAAGACGAAGAUCAGUAGCCGGCCUGAGAGGGCGCACGGCCACACUGGAACUGAAACACGGUCCAGACUCCUACGGGAGGCAGCAGUGGGAAUUUUGCGCAAUGGGGGAAACCCUGACGCAGCAACGCCGCGUGGAGGAUGAAGUCCUUGGGAUGUAAACUCCUUUCGAUCGGGACGAUUAUGACGGUACCGGAAGAAGAAGCACCGGCUAACUCUGCGCCAGCAGCCGC